UUUUGUCCCAGCAGUGAGGGAGAGGGUGACUGGAACAGCUGGGUGCCCAGUGGACCCGUGGCGGUCGCUGCUGUCACCAGCCUUCGCUGCCGUGAGAACUGGGCUUCGGCAGCCUUUCCACGUGGACUGAAGACCACCGGCUCUCCAGGACUGUUUCAGGGCUUCGGUGCCAGAUCGGGCCAUCCAUUCUCACGGCCGGAGUGGACACUUGGGUCUCAGGCUCUCCAGCAUGCGGACAGUUGUGGUUGGAACUUUCUGAUCCGUAUUGUGUAAACCAAUCUAUAAAUCCUCUUUUGUAAUAUAUAUGUUCAUAUGUAUUUGUCAUGUAUGUAUGCCCUAACAAACUCAGUUAAAUGAAUUAAACUCAA
Molecule: long non-coding RNA, 368 nt
Organism: Jaculus jaculus (lesser Egyptian jerboa)
Lineage: Eukaryota; Metazoa; Chordata; Mammalia; Rodentia; Dipodidae
Exons: 2
Source: RefSeq, a predicted model, not a curated record